UUUAGAAUACUACUGAAAUUAGCUGUACAGCUGCAGCUGCAGUUGCUGCGGAUAUGCGUUUGCAGCAUGUCCGUGUGUGCAUCGUAGUUUCGGACGUCGAAGAAAGAUGGUGAGAAAUGGGUGAAAACAUUCGAGAAGCGCCACGGAAAGUUCCCUGGCAUGAAGUAGCUCCAAUUCUUGUCAGGGCAAGAAAUCAGACAACGUGCGCAGUAGAUGAUGAUGGUGGAACUAUGUUAAAAGGAGAAAGGUUCGGCUUUUUAGGCCCGAAUGCAGAAUGACAGGUUGCUGAAGGUGACCAUUAUGCUUGGCAUGCCUGAUGGGGCAUUGGAAAGGGGGAGCCAAGGCGGAUGUGGAUUGGCGACUAAAUGGAUCAGCAUGACCCUUCGCCUUCGCCUCGUGACGGAGAUCUUUAUGACUCUCUCUCUUUCUCUCUCGCUCUCUCGCUCGCUCGCUCCUUCUCCCUCUUUCUCUGUGUCUCCCUGUCUGUCUCUCUCGUUUUCUGUCUGUGUGUGUGUGGAGAGAGCGUGUGUGUUUGUUUUUAUCGUUAUGUAACUGGUUGUGUGAGAGGGGGUGAGUGUGUAUGUGUCCGCAUGUGUACACAGAUGUCAUAUGACCAUAUAUGAAGAUCAAAACAAAUGAUUCUUGCAGCGCCAUCAGCAUUCCUUCUACAACCUCGUAUUCUACCAGACUAACGUCAUGCGCCGUCGUUGCUUGGCGCACACUACUUACAUCCCAAGUAGGGCGAGCGACACGACCUGGUCUCAUAUCCUUCAGGAACUCCGGUGAGGAACUUCUCCAGGAACUCCUGUUUAGAGUAUACAGGGAAUUUUACUGCAUUCGCUCUUGCAGGAAAUGCAUGGGGUGUAUAGACUUACAAGUAACUGAGUACAGGGAAUUUAUGUCAAGAAAUUUUAUCUUUUCGUUUGUUGCGCCAUUUUCUGAGUCAGUUUGUUCCGUCUUCCAAAACCAAAUUCCUUGCUUUGUUGAGUCACUUUGAAAUGGUUAGGCGAAUUCUCGUGUCUCUCGGAUCCUCGGCAUACAAAGAUAAAUCUUCGUGACUUUUGACAGGCUUCCUAGCAAGGAUAUAUAGCGUCAAUUGGACUACUCAGGAUAACCUCUCGGCUGCUUUAAGACGGCAAGAUAACCUCCCGAAGCAGGGUUGAAGAAGACAGCGACAAAGGCAGCUGAAGGUUGGACGUGCUCAGUGAUUUGGUCAAUAAGCAAGUAUUAAAAACAAGUAAACAGACGAAGUAAAAAGCCGAUCGAGAGAGAGGAAACUGUCGUGCAGCUUUUCAGAUUUCGUGCUCAACAAACUGUAACUACAACAGAGAUAAGAGCAAUAAAACACACGACAUGCAUCUCGUGUGCUUCCUUGCUAC
Penaeus vannamei (Pacific white shrimp) is the source of this 1379-nucleotide long non-coding RNA. RefSeq lists it as uncharacterized. The record is from RefSeq and is a predicted model, not a curated record. Lineage: Eukaryota; Metazoa; Arthropoda; Malacostraca; Decapoda; Penaeidae.